Heterocephalus glaber (naked mole-rat) is the source of this 2257-nucleotide long non-coding RNA. NCBI's taxonomy places the organism in Eukaryota, Metazoa, Chordata, Mammalia, Rodentia, Bathyergidae. The record is from Ensembl.
GGCCUCCCUCGCGUGGCUGCUCAGUAUUGUUUGCGCUCAGCCAGGGUGACCUGACGCCCGCUUUGGAAAACUGCUGAACAGCGGGCGGGCGCAGUGGUUUCUUGCAAGGUCCCAGGCAGAGCGGAAUGCAUACACCAGGAAGCCAGCAGGCCUGUCCGGAGAGGCACGGCUCACAGCCUCCGGACUGGAGAGAGCCCAGUUGCUGGGCUUCCGAGCCUUCCUCCCCUGCCCACGACUAAGGAAUGAGCCCUUCUCUGCGCCUGGCCCUGCUGCACGGAGCCGCAGAGCUGAAAGUGAAAGGUGAGGGCCCCCUUUCCCACGGCCAGAAGAGGGGCGUGGGUGCCGCGGGACUCCCCGGCGGCGGCGGCGGCGGCGGCGGCGGGAGCGCAGUCUGCGAGAGCCCUGGGACCUGGAAGGAGAAGCUGAUGUCGUCUCCGCCUGGCCCUGACCCCUCCAGCGAGUGAGUGACUCCUUCCUCCGGAGCCGACCCUUCACCAGAGAACAGGCUCAGGAUGCCCUGGCCCUGUCUGUGCAGCAGGGACCAUUGCCCUUGGAUACUGCUGACCCCUAGGGACUGCCCAGUGCCUCACAUACAGUAGGUGCUCUUGACAUGUGUCACGUGGGUGACUAAAUGGCAGACCGUGCUUUCUACCCUCAUGGGUUGUGAGGGUUACUGUCGGUGACAGUAUCUUCACAGGCUGUAUCCUCCAAGCUUGCUUUGACUUCUCUUUCUUGUGUUGAGAGCCUUAUGUCCACAGGAGAAGAGCUCCAAGGCUCUAGGUUUCCCUCCCACCUCAGGACCUUUGUACAUACCACGCUCUCUGCCCAGAAUGCUUUUCCCCAGCUUGUCUGCAUUCUCCCCCUCAGGUUUCAAUGUCAGUGAGAAUGAAAUGGCUUUCUGAAGGAGCCCCUCCACUGUGUUUCUCUCCUCUGCAGCAGUUUCCAUAGUGGGCUUGGUUUGGUGACUGGUUCUGGUGACCUUUCUCUGCCCGGAACACCAGCCCCACAGGGCGGGGACUUGCCUGUUUGCUCACCCCGGCAUUCCUAGUGCGCUGGCACACAGUAGGUGCUCAGUGAGGAGAGAGGGCUGGUGACUGAAUGUGUGCGCAAGAGCUGCUGGGCAGGGUCAUGCAAGGAGCAGCGGCCCCUGAGGGUCUCGGUCUCCCCUUCAGCCUUGUCACUGUCCCCAGGAGCCCCGAGGCUCCUACUUGGGGCCACACCCUCAGCUCCCAAUCUGAGUGAUGUGCCCGUGACAGCAGGUAGCAACGGGGACAGUCCAGAGAGGGUGCUGGUUUGCCCAGCAUCACACAGCAGGUGCUCAACUGAGCAGGGGUCUAGCUGGGCUGGGAAGAACUGGCCAAGUGGCUGUGGGCGGAAAGGAGACUGCAACAGCUCAAGCUGGGACGUGGCCACCUCUUGUGCUUCUCUGAGCCUCACAUGGCAUCUGUGGAUUCCCCUGCCCUGGCAGCCAUGAACCCGUGCCAGACCCACACCAGGACGGUGCAGACGAAGCACGGAAAAGAAGGCGCUCUAGACCACAGCUCGAGGCUACGUCAGGAGCCAGCAAGCUGCGCUCUGCCUCCAGCCACCCGGCCUGGGCCAGGAGGCCGACUGUUACUGAUGUGGAGACAGACAGGGAUGCUCCUGGCUGCCCAUCAGGGCCUUGGCAGACGAGGGAGCAGAGCCUGGAGAAGCCCAGAGUCCUGGCCAUGGGACACAGGACCCCGAGGGGGCCCUGGAGACCGUUGCUCUCGCUGGGCUGCAGAGAGCUGCAGGUGGGGUCCCUGCUGCAGGUGUCCUGGCAGCUGGGGCGCUUGCUGGGGCCCUGCCCGGCCUGGGGAAUGUUCUCAGAUGGUGUAGCAGUUCCAGGUUUACUCAGAGCUCUCUUCUGAGCUGUCAUGAAAAGUCCCUUUGGCCUGGGGCCCGGGCAGGCUGGGGCGGUGGGGCCUGUGAGCCUUGGGGGGGGGCGAGGGUCCUCCCAGCUCCCUCCCCAACUCAGCGGGGCCUGGAGAAGCAGGGGAGAGAGGGGCAGGGGGCAAGAAGACCCUCGUCUUGGGGCUCUCUUUUCUUCCCUUCACAAUGGCCUCCUGGGUGACCCUAGAAAAUGCCCCUCCCUCCCCAGCACUCAGUUUCCCUGUCUGUCAAAGGGGUGUAGAAUCACCCUAAAUCAGAUCCAUCAUUAGGUGAGGACUCAGUACAUGCUGGUGUUCCAGCCAGUGACAAGACUAUUAUCACCAAAAAUAAAGUAAAACCUAAC